GUUAGUGACAGCUGGCCUGCCACAGCACCUCUUUGUUGCUUCAUCUGUGACCGAAGAGGACGAGUGAGGAGUAGGACCCUUGCGAAGGUUUUAGAUGCAAGCUUAGGAGGAUGAGGGGCGCUGUCCGAGGUCUGAGAGGCAGCCCGCACCCUUUGCCUCUGAAAUAACUACUUUUUGGAGGUGCCAGAGGAGAGAAUCGGUGGAGCGCCCUCCUGGAGUGGGAUCACAGCACCACCCAAGCCUAGAAUCGUCAUCUUCUGGCCUACAGCACCCAGUAUUCCCAGGCAGUCUUCCAUCUAAGGACUAACCAGGCUUUAUCUUGCUUAGCUUCCAAGGCCAGGGCUCUGCUUGCUCCAUUGGUUGCCAAAUCCACAUCUGGAUUUUCCUGUUCACUGGGCCCGUUUCGACUCAUGAUUUGCUUUGGACUUUCCACUUGGUUCUAUGCAUUGCUCUCUGUGAUGAUCCUGGUGGUUCAGCCUCUGCAUUUUGACACAGAAAGCCCCUGGUAGCAGUAUGGAUGGCCAUGUUGGCCUGGACCUGAAGAACACUGAAUCUCACCCACCAGGAACUGGACUCCCAAACUCCUGGCUGCUGACUCCAGGAAUUCCUAUAGCUAUAAAUGUCUACAUUGUUUUAUUUUGAUUCCACUUUGUUUAUUUGGAUCUGUGUAUCUGCCUCUGAACUCUGUAUCUUGUAUCUUUUAUUUUUAUUUUAUU
Molecule: long non-coding RNA, 716 nt
Filed under: Homo sapiens (human)
Lineage: Eukaryota; Metazoa; Chordata; Mammalia; Primates; Hominidae
Description: HSALNT0345810
Source: RNAcentral